Molecule: long non-coding RNA, 325 nt
Organism: Cervus elaphus (red deer)
Lineage: Eukaryota; Metazoa; Chordata; Mammalia; Artiodactyla; Cervidae
Exons: 2
Source: RefSeq, a predicted model, not a curated record
AGAAAGAAAGGACAAACGUUUUUCUUCCUCUACAUUCCUUGGGAUUAUAUAACAAUAAUGUAUCCUGCUUGAGGACAGUCUCUGGAAAAAAAACCUUCUGGCUAAUCCUGUUAUCUUGAAAUGUAAAUUAUGGGAGUGGGUCUCAUGAGGUCUUUACAACCUCCAGACAUUCUUUUGAUUCACUGUAAUAAGUAAUUAAAAAGUGUAUAACUCCAUUGCUAGCACUUGUGAGGGGGCACUCUUUCUGCCCCCUUCUGAUGUCUAUGUCAGAAGUUUUCUCUGUCCCUUUUAUACUUUAAUAAAACUUUAUUACACAAAAGCUCUG